This 253-nucleotide ribosomal RNA is filed under the name uncultured bacterium. RNAcentral's name for it is "partial 16S ribosomal RNA". It matches the Rfam family "Bacterial small subunit ribosomal RNA", at positions 524 to 776 of the family's 1533-position model. The record is from RNAcentral.
UACGGAGGGUGCAAGCGUUGUCCGGAAUCACUGGGCGUAAAGGGCGCGUAGGCGGCUCGGUAAGUCGGGGGUGAAAUCCUGCGGCUCAACCGCAGGGCUGCCUUCUAAACUGUCGAGCUCGAGCACAGUAGAGGCAGAUGGAAUUCCCGGUGUAGCGGUGGAAUGCGUAGAGAUCGGGAAGAACAUCAGUGGCGAAGGCGGUCUGCUGGGCCGUUGCUGACGCUGAGGCGCGACAGCGUGGGGAGCAAACAGG